CCUGAGGAGUGAUGACAGGAAAGGCCGAAUUGCAGUGCCACCGGCAGUUUGCUCUCUGCGGCCACGAUGACAAAACCGCUGAAGCGAACACAGUCUGACCUCAGU
Molecule: small nucleolar RNA, 105 nt
Organism: Pipistrellus kuhlii (Kuhl's pipistrelle)
Lineage: Eukaryota; Metazoa; Chordata; Mammalia; Chiroptera; Vespertilionidae
Product: small nucleolar RNA SNORD89
Exons: 1
Source: RefSeq, a predicted model, not a curated record